This 1436-nucleotide ribosomal RNA is filed under the name uncultured organism. RNAcentral describes it as "SSU rRNA". It matches the Rfam family "Bacterial small subunit ribosomal RNA". The record is from RNAcentral.
GCUUAACACAUGCAAGUCGAGGGGCAGCAUGGUCUUAGCUUGCUAAGGCCGAUGGCGACCGGCGCACGGGUGAGUAACACGUAUCCAACCUGCCGUCUACUCUUGGACAGCCUUCUGAAAGGAAGAUUAAUACAAGAUGGCAUCAUGAGUCCGCAUGUUCACAUGAUUAAAGGUAUUCCGGUAGACGAUGGGGAUGCGUUCCAUUAGACAGUAGGCGGGGUAACGGCCCACCUAGUCUUCGAUGGAUAGGGGUUCUGAGAGGAAGGUCCCCCACAUUGGAACUGAGACACGGUCCAAACUCCUACGGGAGGCAGCAGUGAGGAAUAUUGGUCAAUGGGCGAGAGCCUGAACCAGCCAAGUAGCGUGAAGGAUGACUGCCCUAUGGGUUGUAAACUUCUUUUAUAAAGGAAUAAAGUCGGGUAUGCAUACCCGUUUGCAUGUACUUUAUGAAUAAGGAUCGGCUAACUCCGUGCCAGCAGCCGCGGUAAUACGGAGGAUCCGAGCGUUAUCCGGAUUUAUUGGGUUUAAAGGGAGCGUAGAUGGAUGUUUAAGUCAGUUGUGAAAGUUUGCGGCUCAACCGUAAAAUUGCAGUUGAUACUGGAUAUCUUGAGUGCAGUUGAGGCAGGCGGAAUUCGUGGUGUAGCGGUGAAAUGCUUAGAUAUCACGAAGAACUCCGAUUGCGAAGGCAGCCUGCUAAGCUGCAACUGACAUUGAGGCUCGAAAGUGUGGGUAUCAAACAGGAUUAGAUACCCUGGUAGUCCACACGGUAAACGGAUGAAUACUCGCUGUUUGCGAUAUACGGCAAGCGGCCAAGCGAAAGCGUUAAGUAUUCCACCUGGGGGAGUACGCCGGCAACGGUGAAACCCAAAGGAAUUGACGGGGGCCCGCACAAGCGGAGGAACAUGUGGUUUAAUUCGAUGAUACGCGAGGAACCUUACCCGGGCUUAAAUUGCAGAUGAAUUACGGUGAAAGCCGUAAGCCGCAAGGCAUCUGUGAAGGUGCUGCAUGGUUGUCGUCAGCUCGUACAGUGAGGUGUCGGCUUAAGUGCCAUAACGAGCGCAACCCUUGUUGUCAGUUACUAACAGGUUCCGCUGAGGACUCUGACAAGACUGCCAUCGUAAGAUGUGAGGAAGGUGGGGAUGACGUCAAAUCAGCACGGCCCUUACGUCCGGGGCUACACACGUGUUACAAUGGGGGGUACAGAGGGCCGCUACCACGCGAGUGGAUGCCAAUCCCCAAAACCUCUCUCAGUUCGGACUGGAGUCUGCAACCCGACUCCACGAAGCUGGAUUCGCUAGUAAUCGCGCAUCAGCCACGGCGCGGUGAAUACGUUCCCGGGCCUUGUACACACCGCCCGUCAAGCCAUGGGAGCCGGGGGUACCUGAAGUGCGUAAACGGGAGGAGCGCCCUAGGGUAAAACUGGUGACUGGGGCUAA